Molecule: ribosomal RNA, 482 nt
Filed under: uncultured bacterium
Lineage: Bacteria
Description: bacterial SSU rRNA
Rfam family: Bacterial small subunit ribosomal RNA
Source: RNAcentral
GACAAACGCUGGCGGGGUGCGUGAGACAUGCAAGUCGAACGAGGUGCCAACGAGCUUGCUCGAUGGUUACCGAGUGGCGGACGGCUGAGUAACGCGUAGGUGACCUGCCCGGAAGUGGGGAAUAACUGCCCGAAAGGGUGGCUAAUACCGCAUGUGGUCGACGAUUCAAUUCGUCGUCUAAAGGAGUAAUCCGCUUCCGGAGGGGCCUGCGUCCGAUUAGCUAGUUGGUGGGGUAACGGCNCACCAAGGCGACGAUCGGUAGCUGGUCUGAGAGGAUGAUCAGCCAGACUGGGACUGAGAACGGCCCAGACUCCUACGGGAGGCAGCAGUCGGGAAUUUUGCCCAAUGGACGAAAGUCUGAGGCAGCAACUCCGCGUGAGGGAUGAAGGCUCUAGGGUCGUAAACCUCUUUUCUCAGGGAAGAUCCAAGACGGUACCUGAGGAAUAAGCCACGGCUAACUACGUGCCAGCCGCCGCAGUAAG